Molecule: ribosomal RNA, 500 nt
Filed under: uncultured bacterium
Lineage: Bacteria
Description: partial 16S ribosomal RNA
Rfam family: Bacterial small subunit ribosomal RNA
Source: RNAcentral
AUUGAACGCUGGCGGCAUGCCUUACACAUGCAAGUCGAACGGCAGCACGGGAGCAAUCCUGGUGGCGAGUGGCGAACGGGUGAGUAAAGUAUCGGAACGUGCCCAGUCGUGGGGGAUAACGUAGCGAAAGUUACGCUAAUACCGCAUACGAUCUAUGGAUGAAAGCGGGGGAUCGCAAGACCUCGCGCGAUUGGAACGGCCGAUAUCAGAUUAGGUAGUUGGUGGGGUAAAGGCUCACCAAGCCGACGGUCUGUAGCUGGUCUGAGAGGACGACCAGCCACACUGGGACUGAGACACGGCCCAGACUCCUACGGGAGGCAGCAGUGGGGAAUUUUGGACAAUGGGCGAAAGCCUGAUCCAGCCAUGCCGCGUGCAGGAUGAAGGCCUUCGGGUUGUAAACUGCUUUUGUACGGAACGAAAAGGUUUGGCCUAAUAAGCUGAGCUCAUGACGGUACCGUAAGAAUAAGCACCGGCUAACUACGUGCCAGCAGCCGCCGUAA